CAGUCGCCGCGGUAAUACGGAGGGUGCAAGCGUUAAUCGGAAUUACUGGGCGUAAAGCGCACGCAGGCGGUUUGUUAAGUCAGAUGUGAAAUCCCCGAGCUUAACUUGGGAACUGCAUUUGAAACUGGCAAGCUAGAGUCUUGUAGAGGGGGGUAGAAUUCCAGGUGUAGCGGUGAAAUGCGUAGAGAUCUGGAGGAAUACCGGCGGCGAAGGCGGCCCCCUGGACAAAGACUGACGCUCAGGUGCGAAAGCGUGGGGAGCAAACAGGAUUAGAUACCCGAGUAGUCCCUGUCUCUUAUAC
This 301-nucleotide ribosomal RNA is filed under the name uncultured bacterium. RNAcentral's name for it is "partial 16S ribosomal RNA". It matches the Rfam family "Bacterial small subunit ribosomal RNA", at positions 509 to 807 of the family's 1533-position model. The record is from RNAcentral.